AUGCUGGCCGACAUAUUCUCCGGCGGGGUCUCUCCAUGGCGACGGCGGCGCUGCACCUGUGAGAAAGACAGAGGUAAGGGAAGAUAUAAAGGAGGAGAGGCAGGGAGAAGGAGAGGGCGCGAGGAACGGCGGGGAGGUCCCGUCUCCCGCGUGGGGUGGGGGGGGGGAGGUGNNNNNNNNNNNNNGGCUGCACUGCGUGCGGUCAGAGAGAGAGCCGGGAGGAAUAAGCGAAGGAAGAGGUGGCGGGAUCCUGCGGGGCUGGAUUGGAGCACCGGUGGUGCUACUGCUGCCGUUGGACGCCGGCUGAAGGGACAAGUCCCUAGAGAAGGACGGGGUUCAAGUUGUUGGGCCGGUGGCAGGGGCAGCAUGAUGUUUUCGUCAGGUAACAACCUAGGCAUCGACUCAAGAUUUAACUGA
This 417-nucleotide ribosomal RNA is filed under the name Triticum aestivum (bread wheat). Its description in RNAcentral is "partial small subunit ribosomal RNA". The record is from RNAcentral. Lineage: Eukaryota; Viridiplantae; Streptophyta; Magnoliopsida; Poales; Poaceae.